UGCAGUUUGCUCUCAUUUCAAGUGGUUUGCUGUCACAAAGCCAACAGGAAGUCCGGCCAUGGUUGAGCCAACUGAAGAUGGGUUGAAGGUGGCGUCCUCGUUUCCUCUCGAUACAUGUUGGAAAAUGGAGACUUUAGCCACCAAGACUGACGUGCCUGGAAACUUCCCUUCACGGGGUUUGUGACUGAAAUGCGUGUGGUCGACGGGAAGCCUGACGAGUACGGCCUGAAUCAUUCCAUCAACACCGGACGGAGUGAAACCUUUGUUGAAAACAGAUUAUAUGGUAACGUUGCAUUUAGCUUCAGUAAACUGUGAAGUUACAGCAGCAGAUUUACAUCACGUGGCUUCACAGGAAGUAGUCUGGACCUCAGCGCUGAGGUUCAAGCAGCUCUGCUUGCAGACGGCAUCCUUCCUGAAAAUGUUCUUCAUCUUCCUAAAACCAGAACUUUUACAUUGGUGCUGAAGUUCUAUAUAAAAACAGCCUGAAAUACAAAGUGAUGUUGUGCACUGAUUACCUCACACUUUCCAUGUUUCCUUCUACAGAGGAGUGUCCGCCUGAGUGUUUUGUCUGAUCUGUUGUUGAUCGUCUCAUUGACACUGCAUGCAGAUCUGACA
Maylandia zebra (zebra mbuna) is the source of this 615-nucleotide non-coding RNA. NCBI's taxonomy places the organism in Eukaryota, Metazoa, Chordata, Actinopteri, Cichliformes, Cichlidae. The record is from RefSeq and is a predicted model, not a curated record.